Molecule: ribosomal RNA, 289 nt
Filed under: uncultured bacterium
Lineage: Bacteria
Description: partial 16S ribosomal RNA
Rfam family: Bacterial small subunit ribosomal RNA
Source: RNAcentral
AAUCAACGCUGGCGGCGUGCUUAACACAUGCAAGUCGAACGAGAAGGGAGCAAUCCCUGAGUAAAGUGGCGUACGGGUGAGUAACACGUGGAUCAUCUACCUCUUAAGUGGGGAAUAACGUCUGGGAAACCGGAGCUAAUACCGCAUAAGCCUGGAAAGGGAAAGUGACGUUCUUCAAAAACGACACGCUGAGAGAGGAGUCCGCGGCCGAUUAGCUAGUUGGCAGGUAAAGCCUACCAAGGCAUUGAUCGGUAGCCGGCCUGAGAGGCACACGGCCACACUGGCACUG